RNAcentral lists this ribosomal RNA (468 nucleotides) under uncultured bacterium. Its description in RNAcentral is "partial 16S ribosomal RNA". It matches the Rfam family "Bacterial small subunit ribosomal RNA", at positions 28 to 523 of the family's 1533-position model. The record is from RNAcentral.
GAUGAACGCUGGCGGCGUGCCUAACACAUGCAAGUCGAGCGAUUCUCUUCGGAGAAGAGCGGCGGACGGGUGAGUAACGCGUGGGUAACCUGCCCUAUACACACGGAUAACAUACCGAAAGGUAUGCUAAUACGAGAUAAUAUGCUUUUAUCGCAUGGUAGAAGUAUCAAAGCUCCGGCGGUACAGGAUGGACCCGCGUCUGAUUAGCUAGUUGGUAAGGUAACGGCUUACCAAGGCGACGAUCAGUAGCCGACCUGAGAGGGUGAUCGGCCACAUUGGAACUGAGACACGGUCCAAACUCCUACGGGAGGCAGCAGUGGGGAAUAUUGCACAACGGGCGAAAGCCUGAUGCAGCAACGCCGCGUGAGCGAUGAAGGCCUUCGGGUCGUAAAGCUCUGUCCUCAAGGAAGAUAAUGACGGUACUUGAGGAGGAAGCCCCGGCUAACUACGUGCCAGCCGCCGCUGUAA